AGUGAAACGAUUGACAACGC
This 20-nucleotide small nuclear RNA is filed under the name Arabidopsis thaliana (thale cress). RNAcentral describes it as "snRNA_13466". Lineage: Eukaryota; Viridiplantae; Streptophyta; Magnoliopsida; Brassicales; Brassicaceae. The record is from RNAcentral.